CAGUAGCCGCGGUAAUACGUAGGGUGCAAGCGUUAAUCGGAAUUACUGGGCGUAAAGCGUGCGCAGGCGGUUAUAUAAGACAGAUGUGAAAUCCCCGGGCUCAACCUGGGAACUGCAUUUGUGACUGUAUAGCUAGAGUACGGCAGAGGGGGAUGGAAUUCCGCGUGUAGCAGUGAAAUGCGUAGAUAUGCGGAGGAACACCGAUGGCGAAGGCAAUCCCCUGGGCCUGUACUGACGCUCAUGCACGAAAGCGUGGGGAGCAAACAGGAUUAGAUACCCCCGUAGUCCCUGUUUCUUAUAC
Molecule: ribosomal RNA, 301 nt
Filed under: uncultured bacterium
Lineage: Bacteria
Description: partial 16S ribosomal RNA
Rfam family: Bacterial small subunit ribosomal RNA
Source: RNAcentral